UACGGAGGAUGCGAGCGUUAUCCGGAUUUACUGGGUGUAAAGGGCGUGUAGGCGGGAUGGUAAGUCAGAUGUGAAAACUAUGGGCUCAACCCAUAGCCUGCAUUUGAAACUAUCGUUCUUGAGUGUUGGAGAGGCAGGCGGAAUUCCGUGUGUAGCGGUGAAAUGCGUAGAUAUCGCGCAGAACUCCGAUUGCGAAGGCAGCGUACCGGCGCCAGACUGACGCUGAGGCACGAAAGCGUGGGGAUCGAACAGG
Molecule: ribosomal RNA, 253 nt
Filed under: uncultured bacterium
Lineage: Bacteria
Description: partial 16S ribosomal RNA
Rfam family: Bacterial small subunit ribosomal RNA
Source: RNAcentral